RNAcentral lists this ribosomal RNA (1540 nucleotides) under Staphylococcus aureus OCMM6037. Its description in RNAcentral is "16S ribosomal RNA". It matches the Rfam family "Bacterial small subunit ribosomal RNA". The record is from RNAcentral. Lineage: Bacteria; Bacillati; Bacillota; Bacilli; Caryophanales; Staphylococcaceae. RNAcentral also lists the same sequence under 3 other names.
AGAGUUUGAUCCUGGCUCAGGAUGAACGCUGGCGGCGUGCCUAAUACAUGCAAGUCGAGCGAACGGACGAGAAGCUUGCUUCUCUGAUGUUAGCGGCGGACGGGUGAGUAACACGUGGAUAACCUACCUAUAAGACUGGGAUAACUUCGGGAAACCGGAGCUAAUACCGGAUAAUAUUUUGAACCGCAUGGUUCAAAAGUGAAAGACGGUCUUGCUGUCACUUAUAGAUGGAUCCGCGCUGCAUUAGCUAGUUGGUAAGGUAACGGCUUACCAAGGCAACGAUGCAUAGCCGACCUGAGAGGGUGAUCGGCCACACUGGAACUGAGACACGGUCCAGACUCCUACGGGAGGCAGCAGUAGGGAAUCUUCCGCAAUGGGCGAAAGCCUGACGGAGCAACGCCGCGUGAGUGAUGAAGGUCUUCGGAUCGUAAAACUCUGUUAUUAGGGAAGAACAUAUGUGUAAGUAACUGUGCACAUCUUGACGGUACCUAAUCAGAAAGCCACGGCUAACUACGUGCCAGCAGCCGCGGUAAUACGUAGGUGGCAAGCGUUAUCCGGAAUUAUUGGGCGUAAAGCGCGCGUAGGCGGUUUUUUAAGUCUGAUGUGAAAGCCCACGGCUCAACCGUGGAGGGUCAUUGGAAACUGGAAAACUUGAGUGCAGAAGAGGAAAGUGGAAUUCCAUGUGUAGCGGUGAAAUGCGCAGAGAUAUGGAGGAACACCAGUGGCGAAGGCGACUUUCUGGUCUGUAACUGACGCUGAUGUGCGAAAGCGUGGGGAUCAAACAGGAUUAGAUACCCUGGUAGUCCACGCCGUAAACGAUGAGUGCUAAGUGUUAGGGGGUUUCCGCCCCUUAGUGCUGCAGCUAACGCAUUAAGCACUCCGCCUGGGGAGUACGACCGCAAGGUUGAAACUCAAAGGAAUUGACGGGGACCCGCACAAGCGGUGGAGCAUGUGGUUUAAUUCGAAGCAACGCGAAGAACCUUACCAAAUCUUGACAUCCUUUGACAACUCUAGAGAUAGAGCCUUCCCCUUCGGGGGACAAAGUGACAGGUGGUGCAUGGUUGUCGUCAGCUCGUGUCGUGAGAUGUUGGGUUAAGUCCCGCAACGAGCGCAACCCUUAAGCUUAGUUGCCAUCAUUAAGUUGGGCACUCUAAGUUGACUGCCGGUGACAAACCGGAGGAAGGUGGGGAUGACGUCAAAUCAUCAUGCCCCUUAUGAUUUGGGCUACACACGUGCUACAAUGGACAAUACAAAGGGCAGCGAAACCGCGAGGUCAAGCAAAUCCCAUAAAGUUGUUCUCAGUUCGGAUUGUAGUCUGCAACUCGACUACAUGAAGCUGGAAUCGCUAGUAAUCGUAGAUCAGCAUGCUACGGUGAAUACGUUCCCGGGUCUUGUACACACCGCCCGUCACACCACGAGAGUUUGUAACACCCGAAGCCGGUGGAGUAACCUUUUAGGAGCUAGCCGUCGAAGGUGGGACAAAUGAUUGGGGCGAAGUCGUAACAAGGUAGCCGUAUCGGAAGGUGCGGCUGGAUCACCU